CCAGGUACUAGUUAUAUCACAGCCCUGGGUCAGAGUUUUCACUGGUUAUAUUACACAGGCGAUAUUAUAGGUCAGGUACUUGUUAUAUCAAACCCUAGUUUAGAGUUAGUACGGGUUAUAUCAAAGCCCUAGUUUAGAGUUAGUACUAGUUAUAUCACAGCCCUGGUUUCGAGCUAGUACUAGUUAUAUCACAGCCUUGUUGUAUAUAUCAGGUACUAGUUAUAUCACAGCCUUGUUGUGUAUCAGAUACUAGUUAUAUCACAGCCCUGGGUCAGAGUUGCCACUGGUUAUAUUACACAGACGAUAGAGUUAGUACUAGUUAUUUCACAGCCCUGAUUUAGAGUAAGUACUAAUUAUAUCAGAGCUGUAGUUUAGAG
Pelobates cultripes (western spadefoot toad) is the source of this 377-nucleotide non-coding RNA. The record is from the annotation of a GenBank genome assembly. Lineage: Eukaryota; Metazoa; Chordata; Amphibia; Anura; Pelobatidae.